This 463-nucleotide ribosomal RNA is filed under the name marine sediment bacterium ISA-2629. Its description in RNAcentral is "bacterial SSU rRNA". It matches the Rfam family "Bacterial small subunit ribosomal RNA", at positions 37 to 484 of the family's 1533-position model. The record is from RNAcentral.
UGGCGGCGUGCCUAAUACAUGCAAGUCGAGCGGACAGAAGGGAGCUUGCUCCCGGAUGUUAGCGGCGGACGGGUGAGUAACACGUGGGUAACCUGCCUGUAAGACUGGGAUAACUCCGGGAAACCGGAGCUAAUACCGGAUAGUUCCUUGAACCGCAUGGUUCAAGGAUGAAAGACGGUUUCGGCUGUCACUUACAGAUGGACCCGCGGCGCAUUAGCUAGUUGGUGAGGUAACGGCUCACCAAGGCGACGAUGCGUAGCCGACCUGAGAGGGUGAUCGGCCACACUGGGACUGAGACACGGCCCAGACUCCUACGGGAGGCAGCAGUAGGGAAUCUUCCGCAAUGGACGAAAGUCUGACGGAGCAACGCCGCGUGAGUGAUGAAGGUUUUCGGAUCGUAAAGCUCUGUUGUUAGGGAAGAACAAGUGCAAGAGUAACUGCUUGCACCUUGACGUACCAACCA